AAAUUUUGUUAGACAUUCGUUGCAAAAUUUUUGACCACUUGAUUUUCGUCAUCGUGGGCAAAGAAAAUUUUUUUGUUGCUAAAAAUGGGGUUUUAGCAACGAUUUUUCAGGUAACGACUUUAUAAGUCGUUGCUAAAAGUGUAUGUUUAGCAACAAAACUCGUCUUUCGUUGCAGAUUGUGUCAGACUUUCACUUUUUGCAACGAAAUUCAUAAAUAGUUGCAAAAUUUAGAAACAAAAUUCGUUAGAAAUUCGUUGUAAAAUUUUUAACCACUUGAUUUCUCUUCAUCGUGGACAACGAAAGUUUUUUUGUUGCUAUAUUUCGUUGCCUAAUAUGGACCACAUUCAUUGGCAACAAUUUUUAUUUUCGUUGCAUAUUUUAUACAAUUUUUUGCUAGGAGUGAUCAUUCGGUUAUAACCGAACCGAAUAAGCUAUUCGAUUAUAACCGAAAAUCAAAUUAUUGCUAUUUCUACUAUCCGAACUACUAACCGAAAUUUAAAAAUAACCGAAUACCGAAUUACCGAAUAGUAAUUUCGGAUAUUCGAGUAAAAAUCGAACCCAACUUAACUAUGGGACCUUUCCCCUUUCUAAAUCAAGUCUAUGUACAAAUUACAAAAUGAUACUAGAUCAGUUGCAUAUCCAUCAUAUUCCUUCAUUCUCAUUAGUUAACCUAAAGUGUAAAUGGUAAUACUAUUUUAAAAGCUACUGAAUUACUAGGAUUAUGAGAUUAUCCUCCAACAGUGUCGGUUAAUUGAGGACAACCCUCUGAUACUUGGCAUCUGUGUACCGUGUACGAAUCAGAGCCUUCAGAUCUGUGGUGAUGGGACGGCCGCCACUGAGGAAGAUGUCCAGCCAGAAGAAGGGUCUGAGGUCCAGCCAAAAGGUGAGACGGCACGAGUACGCGACAGACAGUGAAAACCGAGAGGUGGAGGCCGGAGCAGAGAUUGAGUCGGAGAGAGGCGGAGGCCGGAGCAGAGAUUGAACGGAGAGAGGCGGAGGCCGGAGAUGAGCAAGAAGAGAGGUAGUCAAGUAGAUCUAGGAAUUGGGAUUGGGACUUGGGAGCGACGACUGCUACUUGUUAGGGCAAUAAUAUAGUAUAUUAUAUUAUUUAGUAAACUGCUAGGCAAGAAUAGCUGGCUCCAAUAUUUAGUAUAGUAUGUACAUAUAUAUUAGUAUAUUAUUUAGUAUAGUAUUAGCACGUAUAUAUAUAUAUAUAUAUAUAUAUAUAUAUAUAUAUAUAUAUAUAUAU
RNAcentral lists this long non-coding RNA (1249 nucleotides) under Panax ginseng (ginseng). Its description in RNAcentral is "long non-coding RNA (PGIN_LNC012566)". Lineage: Eukaryota; Viridiplantae; Streptophyta; Magnoliopsida; Apiales; Araliaceae. The record is from RNAcentral.